This is a long non-coding RNA of Herpailurus yagouaroundi (jaguarundi), 2007 nucleotides long. RefSeq lists it as uncharacterized. Lineage: Eukaryota; Metazoa; Chordata; Mammalia; Carnivora; Felidae. The record is from RefSeq and is a predicted model, not a curated record. The transcript has 2 exons.
GGGCUCGAUCCUACGAACUGUGAGAUCAUGACCUGAGCCGAAAUCAAGAGGUGAAUGCUUAACCAGCUGAACCACCCAAGUGCCCCAGAAAUAAUUUCUAUAUUACAUUACUAGAGAAUUAAGGUGGAAGUCAUACAGACCAGUGGUAUCUAAAUUUUUGCCGCAUUUGCAGUCACCUGGAGAUCUUUAAAAACAUCCCCAGACAUUCUGAUGUAAUUGGUAGGAGGUGCGCCUGUGCACUGGGAAUGUGUAAAAACGUCUAGGUGAUUCUGAAGUAUGGCAAAGUUUGGGAACCACCUGCAUAGACCACUCAGUGGAUGUACAAUUGAUCCAGGCUGAAAAUCUAGAAUGGAUGGUUGGGAACAUUUGGAAAAGAAAAAGGUGAUACUCAGAAAAGCUAACUCUUCUGUUUGUGUAGGAUUAGAAGAAAAUUGGGAGAAGGGGGUUGGUGGGCAUGGCGAAUGGGGCUUUCUUUGACUAAUAUAUAGAAGGAGCCCUAAGCCCUGAAAGUUCUGUUCCCAGUGGGAUAGGGGCUAGGUCUUCUUAUCUGACUGCCCAGAGCCUAUGUGGCUUUUAUAGCCGCUAAAGACUGGGCACUGGCUCAGUGGGGGCACAGGCUCUCCACAGAGUGAGAGCAGAGCCGUGUUAGAGCUGCCCGCACCCUCAACGCCUUCCCCCAUGUCUUGCUUCAGGUUUUAAUUACAUAGACAUCUCUGCUCCUCAUGUGAGAGAUGCAGUAUUAAUGCGAUGUCUUGGGUUACAGCUGGGUCACAGGCAAUCAAUAUACCCUUUCGGACACCCCCGACCCAGCUUCCGUGGUUUAAAGUCUGAGCUGGGGGAACUCAGGGCAGGGUGGAAGCGUGCGGAUUGUCAGUUCUCUUGCAUGUGUGGUUCAUAACACAUGGGCAAUAUCCUGAGCGUUAAAUCUGGAACGAGUUGUUUAGUGGGGUCUUAGGAGCAUCUGUCGACCAGGGUACCCCAGCUCUUGUGCACUACAGAGACCAAUUUGAAAGACCCUUCAUGGUGGCCCCUUGUUGUAUUUUGAUUUCUUUGGGUAUGUGUGGACCUCUCUGGCUGACAAUUUAACUUCUUCCUUCUCCUGUUCCAUCUUUGUGAAAGAUUGAUGUGUUUAUACGUCCCAUUCACACUGCCUUGGCCCUUUGUCGCUCUUUGCAGCCAGUUGAUGGAGGCAGCAUUUCAGCAUGGAUGACUGUGGAGUCCAGAGUGCUGAGAGACCUAUCCUGGCUUCUCGGUCCACUGUCUCUGUGACCUGAGGAAAUUAUUUAAACUCUGAGUUAUCUCCCUGUAAAGUAGGGUCGAUGGGAAGAGGAAAUGAAGGAACACAUUCUAAAUCCACAAAAUCUCCGUCUGGCUCAUAGAAUGCUCUUAGGUACUUUUAGUCAUUAUUACUGCGUCACUUGAGGGCGGGGACAGUGCUUCUUUUCGCUCAUUGCUGUGGCAGUGUAUCAGUGAGCCUUCUGUCAGGAGACAGCACAUACAUGAGUUGAACAGGGAUGAUAUAACGUUGAGAAUCAUUAACAGGUAAACAGAAGGCUCUAAAGAACGUAGGAAUAACAGAUGUAGGGAGCAGCCACCACCUUUAGGAUUGAGGCAGAGACCCCAACGAAGGAAAACACCUACAAGGGUGAUCCCCAUGCAAAGGUGGAGAUCCACGUUCACUGGAGACAGUGUGGGGGUGGCCCAGUGUGGGGGUGGCCCAGUGUGUGGCACAGAAGGUUGUCGAGGUGCCGCAGGCUGGGGCUGGUCAACAGGCAAGUGCCCACUAGGGGCGCCAGUGAGGCUUAUUAGGCCAGUGGAGUGUUCACCAGGUACAGCUCCAGCAUCAUGAGGCAGGGCAAAGAAGGAUGGAUUUGGACCUGAGGGGCAAUAAAUGGAUAACUGGCCUGAGUAGGAGCAAUGGGACUUGACUUGCAGUGUCAUUGCAAGGGCUAAAUGCAAUAUCAUGAUUGUAACUGCUUUUGGUUAAGUGCGGUUACUUAAAAAAAA